Molecule: ribosomal RNA, 117 nt
Filed under: Petromyzon marinus (sea lamprey)
Lineage: Eukaryota; Metazoa; Chordata; Hyperoartia; Petromyzontiformes; Petromyzontidae
Source: RNAcentral
GCCUGUGACAAAUCACCCUGAAUGUGCCCGAUCCCGUCAGAUCUCGCAAACAAAGCAGGCUUAAGCCUGGAUAGCUCUUAGAUGGGCGACCAUCACGCAUAACAUGUGUUAUAGGCU